UCGGUAGACGCUACGGACUUAAUUGGAUUGAGCCUUGGUAUGGAAACCCACUAAGUGAUAACUUUCAAAUUCAGAGAAACCCCGGAAUUAAUAAAAAGGGGCAAUCCUGAGCCAAAUCCUGUUUUCCGAAACCAAAGGUUCAGAAAGUGAAAAAAGGAUAGGUGCAGAGACUCAACGGAAGCUGUUCUAACAAAUGGAGUUGGCUGCGUUAGUAGAGAAAUCUUUCCAUCGAAAAUUCAGAAAGGAUAAAGUGAAGGAUAAACGUAUAUACAUACGAUACGUAUUGAAUACUAUAUCAAAUGAUUAAUGACAACCCGACUGAAUCUGUAUUUUUUUAUAUGAAAAACGGAAGAAUUGGUGUGAAUAGAUUCCACAUUGAAGAAAGAAUCGUAUAUUCAUUGAUCAAAUGAUUAACUCCAUAGUCUGAUAGAUCUUUUCAAGAACUGAUUAAUCGGACGAGAAUAAAGAUAGAGUCCCGUUCUACAUGUCAAUGUCGGCAACAAUGAAAUUUAGAGUAAGAGGAAAAUCCGUCGACUUUAAAAAUCGUGAGGGUUCAAGUCCCUCUAUCCCCAAAAAGCAUAUUUGACUCCCCAACUAUUUAUCCUAUCCCUCUUUUCGUUAGCGGUUCAAAAUCCCUUAUUCAUUCACUCUAUUCUCGUAGAAAUCGAUCUGGACGGAAAUGCCCUUUUCUUAUCACAAGUCUUGUGUUAUAUAUGAUAUACAUACAUACAAAUGAACAUCUUUGAGCAAGAAAUCCCCAUUUGAAUGAUUUACAAUCGAUAUAACUACUCAUACUGAAACUUACAAAGUACUCUUUUUUAAGAUCCAAGAAAUUCCACUACCUAGAUAAAACUUUGUAAUCCACUUUCCUUCUUUUAAUUGACAUAGACCCCAUUUUCUAAUAGAAUGAGGAUGCUACAUUGGGAUUGGUCGGGAUAGCUCAGCUGGUAGAGCAGAGGACUGAAAAUCCUCGUGUCACCAGUUC
RNAcentral lists this unclassified non-coding RNA (985 nucleotides) under Parachimarrhis breviloba. Its description in RNAcentral is "partial contains trnL gene and trnL-F intergenic spacer". The stretch from base 11 to 497 matches the Rfam family "Group I catalytic intron". Lineage: Eukaryota; Viridiplantae; Streptophyta; Magnoliopsida; Gentianales; Rubiaceae. The record is from RNAcentral.